Cephus cinctus (wheat stem sawfly) is the source of this 1011-nucleotide long non-coding RNA. RefSeq lists it as uncharacterized. The record is from RefSeq and is a predicted model, not a curated record. The transcript is spliced from 3 exons. Lineage: Eukaryota; Metazoa; Arthropoda; Insecta; Hymenoptera; Cephidae.
GUAAGACUCUGGAUCGUCGUCCCACAGUUCACUGGAAGUUACUAGCAGUACUGCCAACCCCUAGCUAAGUGCUGUUUACAGUGGGCGUUUGGAUUUAGCAAUUUUACGUAUUCUAAAGACGUCAAGUUUUUGGAAUUUUCAGCAAGAGCGUUCUCAUGAUUUGCAAAUCACUGUGGUUGAAAAACAACAAAACAGACAUUAUUAAAGCAUCGUUCACGUGACGCCUCGAAGCCAGAAACGCAGUCGGUACGCGUCCAUUAGCAGUUUCCUACGUUCCCGGCUGAUUGUCAUUGUCGGAAUAGGUUCGUCAAUCACCUUUCUAUGGUUCUGUAUACUCGAUGUAGUUAUUUCCUUCGCUAAUUAUUUCUGUAUCACGAGAGAAUUUCAACCGCGUAAACGUGUCCAUAAUGCAUCUAUUGCAAAACAGCUGACUACUUCGACCUUUAAUCUGGAAUAACGGCGUAUCACAUUCCGCAAGUGACGAUUCAACUAUUCUGAGGUUUCACGGGUCAACUGACAGGCCAAUAGCAAUGCGGCUAUCUGUUGGAUUCAGUGUUGCACGAGAACCAAUUUCAGUCACACAGUAUAACGCAAGUUCUUUUAUAAUACAUAUACAGUGGUAGAUCAUUGAGUGAGGUUAGAUUCGUUUUCGUCCAAUGGAAAGUUACAGGGAUCGAUCGGCUCACGGAUAAUCCUUUCCGUUAAGUUUCAGAUUAAUUAAAUACCGGAAAGUGUACAGGACGUAUAAAUAUGAGGAAGCCGAUACGUCUGGCGCAUAGGACUGUUAGACAGUAGUGUAGCGUUAGAUACCAACUGUUGCCUACUUCACUCUUAACCCAGUCAACCAAUUCGAGUGUCACUCUUUGUCAAAGGUGAUGGAGCUCCGUGUUCUCUCGCAAUAUAUUCCAUUCUUCUUACGGUCACUUUUAUUCGUGACUUGCCGGCGCGCAGAUUCAGCACGCUAACGGGUGUCCAGGAUUAAUUGAGAACGGGACAUAUUUUACCCAGAGG